CAGAGGAUGCAAGCGUUAUCCGGAAUGAUUGGGCGUAAAGCGUCUGUAGGUGGCUUUUUAAGUCCGCCGUCAAAUCCCAGGGCUCAACUCUGGACAGGCGGUGGAAACUACCAAGCUGGAGUACGGUAGGGGCAGAGGGAAUUUCCGGUGGAGCGGUGAAAUGCGUAGAUAUCGUUUGGAACGCCAAUGGUGAAAACAGGUUGCUGGGAGUGUGCUGACGCUGAGACACGAAAGCCAGGGGAGCAAACGGG
RNAcentral lists this ribosomal RNA (251 nucleotides) under uncultured bacterium. RNAcentral's name for it is "partial 16S ribosomal RNA". It matches the Rfam family "Bacterial small subunit ribosomal RNA", at positions 526 to 776 of the family's 1533-position model. The record is from RNAcentral.